Molecule: ribosomal RNA, 253 nt
Filed under: uncultured Actinocatenispora sp.
Lineage: Bacteria; Bacillati; Actinomycetota; Actinomycetes; Micromonosporales; Micromonosporaceae
Description: partial 16S ribosomal RNA
Rfam family: Bacterial small subunit ribosomal RNA
Source: RNAcentral
GACGUAGGGAGCGAGCGUUGUCCGGAUUUAUUGGGCGUAAAGAGCUCGUAGGUGGCUUGUCGCGUCGGUUGUGAAAACCUGCAGCUUAACUGUGGGCUUGCUGCCGAUACGGGCAGGCUAGAGGCAGGUAGGGGAGAGUGGAAUUCCUGGUGUAGCGGUGAAAUGCGCAGAUAUCAGGAGGAACACCGGUGGCGAAGGCGGCUCUCUGGACCUGUACUGACGCUGAGGAGCGAAAGCGUGGGGAGCGAACAGG